Molecule: long non-coding RNA, 222 nt
Filed under: Hordeum vulgare
Lineage: Eukaryota; Viridiplantae; Streptophyta; Magnoliopsida; Poales; Poaceae
Description: long non-coding RNA (HVUL_LNC013713)
Source: RNAcentral
UGGAGUUGAAAUAAGAUUAACAAAAUGAAAUGACUUUGUAAGAGACGAGUAUUCGUCGAGAACCGUGAUACAUCGAAAGAGAUAGUCCAGUUUGUACAUGAAAUGCAUCCUAUUUUUGUUGUAACCCUUCCAACUUUUUAGCACAUGCCAUGUGGGUGAAAUGAUGAUACAUGCCAAGUUUCAGUCUUUUCCGAGUUGAUUUGUAGCGCUUUUCAAUUUCAG